RNAcentral lists this transfer RNA (76 nucleotides) under Vibrio parahaemolyticus. RNAcentral's name for it is "tRNA-Lys". It matches the Rfam family "tRNA". From Rfam's summary of the family: Transfer RNA (tRNA) molecules are approximately 80 nucleotides in length. Their secondary structure includes four short double-helical elements and three loops (D, anti-codon, and T loops). The record is from RNAcentral. Lineage: Bacteria; Pseudomonadati; Pseudomonadota; Gammaproteobacteria; Vibrionales; Vibrionaceae.
GGGUCGUUAGCUCAGUUGGUAGAGCAGUGGACUUUUAAUCCUCUGGUCGCUGGUUCGAAUCCAGCAGGAGGCACCA